UGGGGAAUCUUGCGCAAUGGUCGAAAGACUGACGCAGCGACGCCGCGUGGGCGACGAAGGCCUUCGGGUUGUAAAGCCCUGUGGGGCGGGACGAACACUCGUUGGGUGAACAAUCCAGCGGGCUGACGGUACCGCCUUAGCAAGCACCGGCUAACUCUGUGCCAGCAGCCGCGGUAAGACAGAGGGUGCGAACGUUGCUCGGAAUUACUGGGCGUAAAGCGCGUGUAGGCGGCCGCGCACGUCGGGUGUGAAAGCCCGGGGCUCAACCCCGGAAGUGCACACGGUACGACGCGGCUGGAGUCCGGAAGAGGCAGGCGGAAUUCCCGGUGUAGAGGUGAAAUUCGUAGAUAUCGGGAGGAACACCAGUGGCGAAGGCGGCCUGCUGGACCGGCACUGACGCUGAGACGCGAAAGCGUGGGUAGCAAAC
This 427-nucleotide ribosomal RNA is filed under the name uncultured bacterium. RNAcentral describes it as "bacterial SSU rRNA". It matches the Rfam family "Bacterial small subunit ribosomal RNA", at positions 355 to 773 of the family's 1533-position model. The record is from RNAcentral.